GACGAACGCUGGCGGCGUGCUUAGCACAUGCAAGUCGAACGGAAAGGCCCUGCUUUUGUGGGGUGCUCGAGUGGCGAACGGGUGAGUAACACGUGAGUAACCUGCCCUUGACUUUGGGAUAACUUCAGGAAACUGGGGCUAAUACCGGAUAGGAGCUCCUGCUGCAUGGUGGGGGUUGGAAAGUUUCGGCGGUUGGGGAUGGACUCGCGGCUUAUCAGCUUGUUGGUGGGGUAGUGGCUUACCAAGGCUUUGACGGGUAGCCGGCCUGAGAGGGUGACCGGCCACAUUGGGACUGAGAUACGGCCCAGACUCCUACGGGAGGCAGCAGUGGGGAAUAUUGCACAAUGGGCGGAAGCCUGAUGCAGCAACGCCGCGUGCGGGAGGACGGCCUUCGGGUUGUAAACCGCUUUCGCCUGUGACGAAGCGUGAGUGACGGUAAUGGGUAAAGAAGCACCGGCUAACUACGUG
Molecule: ribosomal RNA, 468 nt
Filed under: uncultured bacterium
Lineage: Bacteria
Description: partial 16S ribosomal RNA
Rfam family: Bacterial small subunit ribosomal RNA
Source: RNAcentral